Oncorhynchus keta (chum salmon) is the source of this 638-nucleotide long non-coding RNA. RefSeq lists it as uncharacterized. The transcript is spliced from 3 exons. NCBI's taxonomy places the organism in Eukaryota, Metazoa, Chordata, Actinopteri, Salmoniformes, Salmonidae. The record is from RefSeq and is a predicted model, not a curated record.
AGAGAGGCAGGUUGAGGUGGCCAGGGUCAGAGAGGCAGGUUGAGGUAGCCAGGGUCAGAGAGGCAGGUUGAGGUAGCCAGGGUCAGAGAGGCAGGUUGAGGUGGCCAGGGUCAGAGAGGCAGGUUGAGGUGGCCAGGGUCAGAGAGGCAGGUUGAGGUAGCCAGGGUCAGAGAGGCAGGUUGAGGUGGCCAGGGUCAGAGAGGCAGGUUGAGGUGGCCAGGGUCAGAGAGGCAGGUUGAGGUGGCCAGGGUCAGAGAGGCAGGUUGAGGUAGCCAGGGUCAGAGAGGCAGGUUGAGGUGGCCAGGGUCAGAGAGGCAGGUUGAGGUGGCCAGGGUCAGAGAGGCAGGUUGAGGUGGCCAGGGUCAGAGAGGCAGGUUGAGGUGGCCAGGGUCAGAGAGGCAGGUUGAGGUGGCCAGGGUCAGAGAGGCAGGUUGAGGUAGCCAGGGUCAGAGAGGCAGGUUGAGGUGGCCAGGGUCAGAGAGGCAGGUUGAGGUGGCCAGGGUCAGAGAGGCAGGUUGAGGUGGCCAGGGUCAGAGAGGCAGGUUGAGGUGGCCAGGGUCAGAGAGGCAGGUUGAGGUGGCCAGGGUCAGAGAGGCAGGUUGAGGUGGCCAGGGUCAGAGAGGCAGGUUGAGGUGGCC